UGCUUUAACAUGCAGUCGGACGGCAGCACGGGCUUCGGCCUGGUGGCGAGUGGCGAACGGGUGAGUAAUGUAUCGGAACGUGCCCAGUAGCGGGGGAUAACUACGCGAAAGCGUGGCUAAUACCGCAUACGCCCUACGGGGGAAAGCGGGGGACCUUCGGGCCUCGCACUAUUGGAGCGGCCGAUAUCGGAUUAGCUAGUUGGUGGGGUAACGGCCUACCAAGGCGACGAUCCGUAGCUGGUUUGAGAGGACGACCAGCCACACUGGGACUGAGACACGGCCCAAACUCCUACGGGAGGCAGCAGUGGGGAAUUUUGGACAAUGGGGGCAACCCUGAUCCAGCCAUCCCGCGUGUGCGAUGAAGGCCUUCGGGUUGUAAAGCACUUUUGGCAGGAAAGAAACGGCACGGGCUAAUAUCCUGUGCAACUGACGGUACCUGCAGAAUAAGCACCGGCUAACUACGUGCCAGCAGCCGCGGUAAUACGUAGGGUGCAAGCGUUAAUCGGAAUUACUGGGCGUAAAGCGUGCGCAGGCGGUUCGGAAAGAAAGAUGUGAAAUCCCAGGGCUUAACCUUGGAACUGCAUUUUUAACUACCGGGCUAGAGUGUGUCAGAGGGAGGUGGAAUUCCGCGUGUAGCACUGAAAUGCGUAGAUAUGCGGAGGAACACCGAUGGCGAAGGCAGCCUCCUGGGAUAACACUGACGCUCAUGCACGAAAGCGUGCGGAGCAAACAGGAUUAGAUACCCUGGUAGUCCACGCCCUAAACGAUGUCAACUAGCUGUUGGGGCCUUCGGGCCUUGGUAGCGCAGCUAACGCGUGAAGUUGAC
RNAcentral lists this ribosomal RNA (826 nucleotides) under Bordetella bronchiseptica. RNAcentral's name for it is "bacterial SSU rRNA". It matches the Rfam family "Bacterial small subunit ribosomal RNA", at positions 45 to 869 of the family's 1533-position model. The record is from RNAcentral. Lineage: Bacteria; Pseudomonadati; Pseudomonadota; Betaproteobacteria; Burkholderiales; Alcaligenaceae.